UUUUUUUUUGUGAUGUUGCAGAGUUUCUGCCUAAAUUGCAUACUUUGAUUAUCACCAGCAAUAGACUUACAAAUUUGGUUGAAAUUGAUCCGCUUGCGUCUCUACCAAACCUGAAGUUUCUUAGUUUGCUUGAUAAAAAUAUCACAACAACAACAACACAUUAUAAUCCCACUUAGUAGGAUCUGGGGAGGGUAGUAUGUACGCAGAACUUACCCCUACCCUGGGGUAGAGAGGUUGUUUCCAAAUAGACCCCCGGCAUCCUUCCCUCCAAGAACUUCCCACCUUGCUCUUGGGGAGACUCGAACUCACAACCUCUCGGUUGGAAGUGGGGGUUGCUUAUCAUCAGAACAACCCCUCUUUUCGGAUAAAGAGACCAAAUUAUCGCCUUUAUGUCAUUCACAAAUUGAAGUCCUUGCGUUUGCUGGUUCCUUCCGUGCCUUCAUUUGAACAAUGUAGGAACUCCUCAAAUAUGUUGAUAGUUCAGCUUGUUGUUUUAGGUAACAUUUUCUUGCUGUACUUGUUAUUCGGACUUGAAUUACGGUGCCAUCCUGAAUUUCCUCAAACAUGCUAGAAAAAGUAUAGCAAUUUAUUACGUAUCUUAUAGUCAGCUUAAAAAAGAAACAGAGAAUGGGUUCCUGAUUUUGAAACCAUAUGCAUUUUCAUUUUUCAUCCUUGCAAAAGGCACCUUUAAUUAAGUGGGAGGUGUUCAGCAUGCUGUCUGAACCAGUAUAGUUGCAUAAGAUAGCGCCAAGUUUGCGUACAUAGAGAAAUGACAGACCCACUAAAUCUGUUCGCUAGAAUAUGAAAUGGAAAUGGAGAAAAUCAAUGUUACCAUCCUUGAAUCGGCCGGACCCCAAGAUAAGGUACCUAAAUGAAAAAUAGUGUCAGCUUUAGGGUGUUAUCUUUGUAUUUGGCCUUCUUAUAGCCUGUUUGGCAAGCUUAUUUUUGGCCUAAAGUGCUUUUUUUUUGCCACAAGUACUUUUGGCCGAAAAUUGAGGUGUUUGGCCAAGCUUCUGGGGAAAAAAAUGCUUUUGAGGAGAAGCAGAAGCAGUCUUGGAGAAGCAGAAAAAGUAGCUUCUCUCCAGAAGCACUUUUGAUAAAAAUACACUUAGAAGAAGUUUUUUAAAGCUUGGUCAAACAGUAAUUGCUGCUCAGAAGUGCUUUUCAAGCUAAUUAGCCAAACACACACUACUUCUCACCAAAAGUAAAAAGCACUUCUCAAAAUAAGCUAAUUUUGCAGCUUGACCAAACGAGCUAUUAGUAUUUGAAUUUUAUCAUUUUAAAGAAGUUUGUUUAAUUAUAUCUUAAAGCAGAGGACACGCUAGUUUACCACAUAAUAUAUGCUUGUACAAAUUCUAUUACCCGCCGAAAACUUAAUACUCCCUCCGUUUCAGUUUAUGUGGACUCAUUUGACUGGACAUGGAGUUUAAGAAAAGAGAGAAGACUUUUGAUCUUGUGGUGUAAAAUGAGACACAUAUAUUUUGUGUGACUAUUAAUCAUUGUGCAAAGAUAAAUUAUUUCUAAAUAAGAAAAGGGGUCAUUCUUUUUGGCAUAGACUAGAAAGGAAAUAUGUUCACAUAAAUUGAAACUGAGGGAUUGGUUAGAAAAACUCUAUUACUUGUCUUGAAUUUAAUUUGUAGUUGUUUGCUUUAUGAGAUUGCCAAUGAUUUAAGCGUUCUUUUAUUGAGAUAUUCUGGGAUUAGACAGAUGACCUUAACAUUUGUAAUGUUACUACAUUCUUUUUCUUGUCUAUAUAAACAUACAACUAUAUUUUCCAGCAAUAUAUGUAGGCUCCCUCAUCUCUUUAUUUGCCGAUGCUCUAACAUACUACAUACAAAUGCUUUAAUACUCUAUGGCAUGAAUACAUGAUUAACCAGUCCAAAUGUUAUAUUUUGUCCGUUGGGAUUGGAGGUGGGAGCCGAAGCACCCAGAAAAUUACUUUAAACAGCUGCAUACUGAGCUGUCAGAUUUAAUUUUGUUGAUAUAGGAGCGAUUGGAAGCAAGUAAUUUAUUUGCAUAAGAAGAAGCUGAAGAACAGGCUAAAAAGGAAUCUAUGAAGACCUUUGUACUGGUGAGGUUCCAGCGGCCUCGAGGAACCAAAGGAAGAUGAAGCACCAAAACCAGCUGCUCCUACACCUGAGCAAAUUAUUGCAACUAAGGUAUAAUUUGUCAUUUAUCUGUUACUGGUCCUUAGCAAUUCUUCCUCUUCUUCGAUUGCAUUUUAAGGAUUAGGAUUGGUGGAACAGGUUGUUUGGAUAUGUCUAGGGAAUUUGGUGCUAUGAAAUAUGGAUAGGGCCAACAUAUACAACAACAACAACUACCCAAUAUAGUACUGUCUUGUAAAAAAAGGUCAACUACUUACCAUAUGCGUUAUGUUUUGCAGUUAGUGUUUUUGGCUAGCCUUCAGUUGCAAGCGCCAAUCACUCCAUACUCCCUUUGUAUAGCUCUGUGAACAACACUUUGCUCAUAUAAAGCUCACAAAUCAACUAGUUUCAGCAACACAACCAAUCCUAAAAUGAAAUGUUUUUUGAGAACAGUGGUCAACAAAGAAAUCUUCACUCUAUCUAGUCAUAAUAGAGCAGAAAAUUAGAAAGAAAACUAUAUUCUGAGUCAUAGAAGAACAGUAACUUCUGUGGAUAGUUUGUUUGAAUCUUGUAAGAGAAGUCAUCAGACUCUUCCAGUGAUUUGUAGGUCAGAGCUCAACUAAGCACUUUUAUU
This 2718-nucleotide long non-coding RNA is filed under the name Nicotiana benthamiana. Its description in RNAcentral is "long non-coding RNA (NBEN_LNC014613)". The record is from RNAcentral. Lineage: Eukaryota; Viridiplantae; Streptophyta; Magnoliopsida; Solanales; Solanaceae.